Molecule: ribosomal RNA, 505 nt
Filed under: uncultured bacterium
Lineage: Bacteria
Description: partial 16S ribosomal RNA
Rfam family: Bacterial small subunit ribosomal RNA
Source: RNAcentral
GACGAACGCUGGCGGCGUGCCUAAUACAUGCAAGUAGAACGCACAGUUUAUACCGUAGCUUGCUACACCAUAGACUGUGAGUUGCGAACGGGUGAGUAACGCGUAGGUAACCUGCCUGGUAGCGGGGGAUAACUAUUGGAAACGAUAGCUAAUACCGCAUCAUAUUAAUUAUUGCAUGAUAAUUAAUUGAAAGGUGCAAUUGCACCACUACCAGAUGGACCUGCGUUGUAUUAGCUAGUAGGUGAGGUAACGGCUCACCUAGGCGACGAUACAUAGCCGACCUGAGAGGGUGAUCGGCCACACUGGGACUGAGACACGGCCCAGACUCCUACGGGAGGCAGCAGUAGGGAAUCUUCGGCAAUGGACGAAAGUCUGACCGAGCAACGCCGCGUGAGUGAAGAAGGGUGUCGGAUCGUAAAGCUCUGUUGUAAGGGAAGAACGGGUGUGAGAGUGGAAAGUUCACACUGUGACGGUAUCUUACCAGAAAGGGACGGCUAACUACGUG